This is a non-coding RNA of Vicugna pacos (alpaca), 908 nucleotides long. NCBI's taxonomy places the organism in Eukaryota, Metazoa, Chordata, Mammalia, Artiodactyla, Camelidae. The record is from the annotation of a RefSeq genome assembly.
UUUGUUCAACCUACAAGCGUUGCUUGGUGGCACUGAGAUUUGAGGCAGAGAUUCAGGGCCACUGUUCUAGGAAUCUCCAUGAAGCAGCUGAGAGGGUGCAGGGCCAAGGACCUUCACUGAGCCACCCGGUGCGUGUGGGGCGUGGGGAUGUGUGUGAGUGCGUGUGGGUGCAUAAAAACAGGAAACUCCAGCUUGAGGUUUGAGCCACUGUGAGAAGAUGAUGUGAGAAGAUGUUGAGUUUCCUGGAAAAGCCACUCCCUUCUGAGUGUCAAACGCAGAGGGUGUCAGCCACUAACUGCCACCUUAAAGGCCAGAAUCUGCCCUCCUGCCUGGCUGGCCCCGUCCCACGGCCCCCUGGCCCGCUGCCCUGCUGGAGAGGGCCUGUGGGGCCAGGGAAUGGUCCUGUUUCUCAUCCUCUGCGGCUGGGUGCUCAUGGCUGCCGUGAGAACAGACGCCACGGCAAGCUUCGUGGAGCAGAGGCCCCGGUGGGUCCUGGUACCUCGCGGACAGGCUGAAACCCUGCGCUGCAUCCUGAGGAAUUCCCAGUACCCCUGGAUGAGCUGGUACCAACAGGAUCUCCAGGGGCAACUACAGAUGCUGGCCCGUCUGCGGAGUCCUGGGGAUAAGGAGGUCAUAUCCCUUCCUGGAGCAGAUUACCAGGCCACGCGGGUCGAUAACACCGAGCUGAGACUACAUGUGGCCAAUGUCACCCGAGGCAGAACCCUGUUCUGCACCUGCAGUAAAGACACAGUGAGACAACCUCUUUGGAUGAAUGAAUAAAAACCGCCCCUGGUUCCCAACCACACACCCAGCCUCCUCCUCUGCCCUCAGCCCCUCCCGAGGGAGCCUGCCUCCUCUGCACCCAGACCCUCCUUCUCGCCCUUUACUGAAUGCAGACUCUCGCUGCC